GGUUGUAUAGUGUAGCGGUUAGCACGUGGGAUUUUGAUUCCCGAGUCCUGGGUUCGAGCCCCAGUACGACCU
Molecule: transfer RNA, 72 nt
Filed under: Drepanopeziza brunnea f. sp. 'multigermtubi' MB_m1
Lineage: Eukaryota; Fungi; Ascomycota; Leotiomycetes; Helotiales; Drepanopezizaceae
Description: tRNA-Gln (TTG) (tRNA-Gln-TTG-1-1)
Rfam family: tRNA
About the family: Transfer RNA (tRNA) molecules are approximately 80 nucleotides in length. Their secondary structure includes four short double-helical elements and three loops (D, anti-codon, and T loops).
Source: RNAcentral